RNAcentral lists this ribosomal RNA (254 nucleotides) under uncultured bacterium. RNAcentral's name for it is "partial 16S ribosomal RNA". It matches the Rfam family "Bacterial small subunit ribosomal RNA", at positions 524 to 777 of the family's 1533-position model. The record is from RNAcentral.
GACGAACCGAGCGAACGUUAUUCGGAAUCACUGGGCUUAAAGGGCGCGUAGGCGGGCGAUCAAGUCAGGGGUGAAAGCCCCCAGCUCAACUGGGGAAGUGCCUCUGAUACUGGUCGCCUCGAGGGAGGUAGGGGCGUGCGGAACUUCCGGUGGAGCGGUGAAAUGCGUAGAUAUCGGAAGGAACAUCGGUGGCGAAAGCGGCGCGCUGGACCUCUUCUGACGCUGAGGCGCGAAAGCCAGGGGAGCGAACGGGG